This 433-nucleotide ribosomal RNA is filed under the name uncultured bacterium. RNAcentral describes it as "partial 16S ribosomal RNA". It matches the Rfam family "Bacterial small subunit ribosomal RNA", at positions 29 to 507 of the family's 1533-position model. The record is from RNAcentral.
AACGAACGCUGGCGGCAUGCCUAACACAUGCAAGUCGAACGAGACCUUCGGGUCUAUUGGCGCACGGGUGCGUAACGCGUGGGAACCUUCCCUUAGGUUCGGAAUAACUCCCCGAAAGGGGUGCUAAUACCGGAUAAUGUCUUCGGACCAAAGAUUUAUCGCCUUUGGAUGGGCCCGCGUUGGAUUAGCUAGUUGGUAGGGUAAAAGCCUACCAAGGCGACGAUCCAUAGCUGGUCUGAGAGGAUGAUCAGCCACACUGGGACUGAGACACGGCCCAGACUCCUACGGGAGGCAGCAGUGGGGAAUAUUGGACAAUGGGCGAAAGCCUGAUCCAGCAAUGCCGGGUGAGUGAUGAAGGCCUUAGGGUUGUAAAGCUCUUUUACCCGGGAUGAUAAUGACAGUACCGGGAGAAUAAGCUCCGGCUAACUCCGUG